CCAAUAGCGUAUAUUAAAGUUGUUGCAGUUAAAAAGCUCGUAGUUGAAUUUCGGGGUCAGUGAGUUGGUCGUGCCACUGGUAUGCACUGGCUUUACUGAUUCCUCCUUCUUGAAGAACUGUAAUGCUAUUAAUUUAGUGUUGCAGGGAAACAGGACUGUUACUUUGAAAAAAUUAGAGUGUUUAAAGCAGGCUAACGCUUGAAUACAUUAGCAUGGAAUAAUGAAAUAGGACGUUUGAUCCUAUUUUGUUGGUUUCUAGGAUUGACGUAAUGAUUAAUAGGGAUAGUUGGGGGCAUUAGUAUUCAAUUGUCAGAGGUGAAAUUCUUGGAUUUAUUGAAGACUGACUACUGCGAAAGCAUUUGCCAAGGAUGUUUUCAUUAAUCAAGAACGAAAGUUAAGGGAUCGAAGACGAUCAGAUACCGUCGUAGUCUUAACCAUAAACUAUGCCGACUAGGAAUCGGAUGAUGUUAAUUUUUUAAUGACUCAUUCGGCGCCUUACG
This 500-nucleotide ribosomal RNA is filed under the name uncultured Glomeromycotina. RNAcentral describes it as "partial small subunit ribosomal RNA". It matches the Rfam family "Eukaryotic small subunit ribosomal RNA", at positions 591 to 1092 of the family's 1831-position model. The record is from RNAcentral. Lineage: Eukaryota; Fungi; Glomeromycota.